RNAcentral lists this ribosomal RNA (419 nucleotides) under uncultured fungus. RNAcentral describes it as "SSU rRNA". It matches the Rfam family "Eukaryotic small subunit ribosomal RNA", at positions 247 to 667 of the family's 1831-position model. Lineage: Eukaryota; Fungi. The record is from RNAcentral.
UGAUCAUAAUAACUUACGAAUCGCAUGGCCUUGUGCCGGCGAUGGUUCAUUCAAAUUUCUGCCCUAUCAACUUUCGAUGGUGGGAUAGUGGCCUACCAUGGUUUCAACGGGUAACGGGGAAUUAGGGUUCUAUUCCGGAGAGGGAGCCUGAGAAACGGCUACCACAUCCAAGGAAGGCAGCAGGCGCGCAAAUUACCCAAUCCCGACACGGGGAGGUAGUGACAAUAAAUACUGAUACAGGGGCUCUUUUGGGUCUUGUAAUUGGAAUGAGUACAAUUUAAAUCCCUUAACGAGGAACAAUUGGAGGACAAGUCUGGUGCCAGCAGCCGCGGUAAUUCCAGCUCCAAUAGCGUAUAUUAAAGUUGUUGCAGUUAAAAGCUCGUAGUUGAACCUUGGGCCUGGCUGGGCGGUCCGGCUCA